ACUCCUACGGGAGGCAGCAGUGGGGAAUAUUGCACAAUGGGCGCAAGCCUGAUGCAGCCAUGCCGCGUGUAUGAAGAAGGCCUUCGGGUUGUAAAGUACUUUCAGCAGUGAGGAAGGGUGGGUAUGUUAAUAGCAUACUCAUUGACGUUAGCUGCAGAAGAAGCACCGGCUAACUCCGUGCCAGCAGCCGCGGUAAUACGGAGGGUGCGAGCGUUAAUCGGAAUUACUGGGCGUAAAGCGCAUGCAGGUGGUUUGUUAAGUCAGAUGUGAAAGCCCGGGGCUCAAGCCUCGGAAUUGCAUUGAAACUUGGACAAA
This 315-nucleotide ribosomal RNA is filed under the name uncultured bacterium. RNAcentral's name for it is "bacterial SSU rRNA". It matches the Rfam family "Bacterial small subunit ribosomal RNA", at positions 335 to 640 of the family's 1533-position model. The record is from RNAcentral.